RNAcentral lists this ribosomal RNA (432 nucleotides) under uncultured bacterium. Its description in RNAcentral is "partial 16S ribosomal RNA". It matches the Rfam family "Bacterial small subunit ribosomal RNA", at positions 29 to 507 of the family's 1533-position model. The record is from RNAcentral.
ACGAACGCUGGCGGCAGGCUUAACACAUGCAAGUCGAGCGCAUCCUUCGGGGUGAGCGGCGGACGGGUGAGUAACGCGUGGGAACGUGCCCUCUUCUACGGAAUAGCCUCGGGAAACUGAGAGUAAUGCCGUAUACGCCCGCAAGGGGAAAGAUUUAUCGGAGGAGGAUCGGCCCGCGUUGGAUUAGGUAGUUGGUGGGGUAACGGCCUACCAAGCCGACGAUCCAUAGCUGGUUUGAGAGGAUGAUCAGCCACACUGGGACUGAGACACGGCCCAGACUCCUACGGGAGGCAGCAGUGGGGAAUCUUGGACAAUGGGGGCAACCCUGAUCCAGCCAUGCCGCGUGAGCGAUGAAGGCCUUAGGGUUGUAAAGAUCUUUCAGCUGGGAAGAUAAUGACGGUACCAGCAGAAGAAGCCCCGGCUAACUCCGUG